CAUUCACGGAGAGUUUGAUCCUGGCUCAGGACGAACGCUGGCGGCGUGCUUAACACAUGCAAGUCGAACGAUGAAGCCCUUCGGGGUGGAUUAGUGGCGAACGGGUGAGUAACACGUGGGCA
RNAcentral lists this ribosomal RNA (122 nucleotides) under Streptomyces sp. TR1341. RNAcentral describes it as "partial 16S ribosomal RNA". It matches the Rfam family "Bacterial small subunit ribosomal RNA", at positions 1 to 123 of the family's 1533-position model. Lineage: Bacteria; Bacillati; Actinomycetota; Actinomycetes; Kitasatosporales; Streptomycetaceae. The record is from RNAcentral.